RNAcentral lists this microRNA precursor (203 nucleotides) under Paramuricea clavata. Lineage: Eukaryota; Metazoa; Cnidaria; Anthozoa; Malacalcyonacea; Plexauridae. The record is from RNAcentral.
UAACUUCGUGGAGUUCCUCUGAACAAUUCCUCAACAAUUUGAUAAGUUCCUUAAAAAGUUCCUAACUUCCUGUUUCAUUGACCAAUCAGAUUGCUCAAAAAUAGAAUAUAAAAUUUGAUUGGUCAAUGAAACAGGAAGUUGGGAACUUUUUAAGGAACUUAUCAAAUUGUUGAGGAAUUGUUCAGAGGAACUCCUCGAAGUUA